GUGACUGCGUACCUUUUGUAUAAUGGGUCAGCGACUUAUAUUCUGUAGCAAGGUUAACCGAAUAGGGGAGCCGAAGGGAAACCGAGUCUUAACUGGGCGUUAAGUUGCAGGGUAUAGACCCGAAACCCGGUGAUCUAGCCAUGGGCAGGUUGAAGGUUGGGUAACACUAACUGGAGGACCGAACCGACUAAUGUUGAAAAAUUAGCGGAUGACUUGUGGCUGGGGGUGAAAGGCCAAUCAAACCGGGAGAUAGCUGGUUCUCCCCGAAAGCUAUUUAGGUAGCGCCUCGUGAAUUCAUCUCCGGGGGUAGAGCACUGUUUCGGCAAGGGGGUCAUCCCGACUUACCAACCCGAUGCAAACUGCGAAUACCGGAGAAUGUUAUCACGGGAGACACACGGCGGGUGCUAACGUCCGUCGUGAAGAGGGAAACAACCCAGACCGCCAGCUAAGGUCCCAAAGUCAUGGUUAAGUGGGAAACGAUGUGGGAAGGCCCAGACAGCCAGGAUGUUGGCUUAGAAGCAGCCAUCAUUUAAAGAAAGCGUAAUAGCUCACUGGUCGAGUCGGCCUGCGCGGAAGAUGUAACGGGGCUAAACCAUGCACCGAAGCUGCGGCAGCGACGCUUAUGCGUUGUUGGGUAGGGGAGCGUUCUGUAAGCCUGUGAAGGUGUGCUGUGAGGCAUGCUGGAGGUAUCAGAAGUGCGAAUGCUGACAUAAGUAACGAUAAAGCGGGUGAAAAGCCCGCUCGCCGGAAGACCAAGGGUUCCUGUCCAACGUUAAUCGGGGCAGGGUGAGUCGACCCCUAAGGCGAGGCCGAAAGGCGUAGUCGAUGGGAAACAGGUUAAUAUUCCUGUACUUGGUGUUACUGCGAAGGGGGGACGGAGAAGGCUAUGUUGGCCGGGCGACGGUUGUCCCGGUUUAAGCGUGUAGGCUGGUUUUCCAGGCAAAUCCGGAAAAUCAAGGCUGAGGCGUGAUGACGAGGCACUACGGUGCUGAAGCAACAAAUGCCCUGCUUCCAGGAAAAGCCUCUAAGCAUCAGGUAACAUCAAAUCGUACCCCAAACCGACACAGGUGGUCAGGUAGAGAAUACCAAGGCGCUUGAGAGAACUCGGGUGAAGGAACUAGGCAAAAUGGUGCCGUAACUUCGGGAGAAGGCACGCUGAUAUGUAGGUGAAGUCCCUCGCGGAUGGAGCUGAAAUCAGUCGAAGAUACCAGCUGGCUGCAACUGUUUAUUAAAAACACAGCACUGUGCAAACACGAAAGUGGACGUAUACGGUGUGACGCCUGCCCGGUGCCGGAAGGUUAAUUGAUGGGGUCAGCGCAAGCGAAGCUCUUGAUCGAAGCCCCGGUAAACGGCGGCCGUAACUAUAACGGUCCUAAGGUAGCGAAAUUCCUUGUCGGGUAAGUUCCGACCUGCACGAAUGGCGUAAUGAUGGCCAGGCUGUCUCCACCCGAGACUCAGUGAAAUUGAACUCGCUGUGAAGAUGCAGUGUACCCGCGGCAAGACGGAAAGACCCCGUGAACCUUUACUAUAGCUUGACACUGAACAUUGAGCCUUGAUGUGUAGGAUAGGUGGGAGGCUU
Molecule: ribosomal RNA, 1579 nt
Filed under: Escherichia coli
Lineage: Bacteria; Pseudomonadati; Pseudomonadota; Gammaproteobacteria; Enterobacterales; Enterobacteriaceae
Description: partial 23S ribosomal RNA
Rfam family: Bacterial large subunit ribosomal RNA
Source: RNAcentral